RNAcentral lists this ribosomal RNA (671 nucleotides) under Bacillus tequilensis. RNAcentral describes it as "bacterial SSU rRNA". It matches the Rfam family "Bacterial small subunit ribosomal RNA", at positions 377 to 1038 of the family's 1533-position model. The record is from RNAcentral. Lineage: Bacteria; Bacillati; Bacillota; Bacilli; Caryophanales; Bacillaceae.
GAAAGUCUGACGGAGCACGCCGCGUGAGUGAUGAAGGUUUUCGGAUCGUAAAGCUCUGUUGUUAGGGAAGAACAAGUACCGUUCGAAUAGGGCGGUACCUUGACGGUACCUAACCAGAAAGCCACGGCUAACUACGUGCCAGCAGCCGCGGUAAUACGUAGGUGGCAAGCGUUGUCCGGAAUUAUUGGGCGUAAAGGGCUCGCAGGCGGUUUCUUAAGUCUGAUGUGAAAGCCCCCGGCUCAACCGGGGAGGGUCAUUGGAAACUGGGGAACUUGAGUGCAGAAGAGGAGAGUGGAAUUCCACGUGUAGCGGUGAAAUGCGUAGAGAUGUGGAGGAACACCAGUGGCGAAGGCGACUCUCUGGUCUGUAACUGACGCUGAGGAGCGAAAGCGUGGGGAGCGAACAGGAUUAGAUACCCUGGUAGUCCACGCCGUAAACGAUGAGUGCUAAGUGUUAGGGGGUUUCCGCCCCUUAGUGCUGCAGCUAACGCAUUAAGCACUCCGCCUGGGGAGUACGGUCGCAAGACUGAAACUCAAAGNAAUUGACGGGGGCCCGCACAAGCGGUGGAGCAUGUGGUUUAAUUCGAAGCACCGCGAAAAACCUUACCAGGUCUUGACAUCCUCUGACAAUCCUAGAGAUAGGACGUCCCCUNCNGGGGGCAAAAUGACAGG